UGGGGAAUUUUGGACAAUGGGCGAAAGCCUGAUCCAGCAAUGCCGCGUGUGUGAAGAAGGCCUUCGGGUUGUAAAGCACUUUUGUCCGGAAAGAAAUCCUUGGCUCUAAUACAGUCGGGGGAUGACGGUACCGGAAGAAUAAGCACCGGCUAACUACGUGCCAGCAGCCGCGGUAAUACGUAGGGUGCAAGCGUUAAUCGGAAUUACUGGGCGUAAAGCGUGCGCAGGCGGUUUGCUAAGACCGAUGUGAAAUCCCCGGGCUCAACCUGGGAACUGCAUUGGUGACUGGCAGGCUAGAGUAUGGCAGAGGGGGGUAGAAUUCCACGUGUAGCAGUGAAAUGCGUAGAGAUGUGGAGGAAUACCGAUGGCGAAGGCAGCCCCCUGGGCCAAUACUGACGCUCAUGCACGAAAGCGUGGGGAGCAAACAGGAUUAGAUACCCUGGUAGUCCACGCCCUAAACGAUGUCAACUAGUUGUUGGGGAUUCAUUUCCUAGUAACGUAGCUAACGCGUGAAGUUGACCGCUUGGGGAGUACGGUCGCAAGAUUAAAACUC
This 553-nucleotide ribosomal RNA is filed under the name uncultured bacterium. RNAcentral's name for it is "partial 16S ribosomal RNA". It matches the Rfam family "Bacterial small subunit ribosomal RNA", at positions 355 to 902 of the family's 1533-position model. The record is from RNAcentral.